GAUGAACGCUGGCGGCGUGCCUAAUACAUGCAAGUCGAGCGGACGGACGAGAAGCUUGCUUCCUUACUGUUAGCGGCGGGCGGGUGAGUAAGACGUGGAUCACCUACUUCUAAGUCUGGGAUAAUUUCGGGAAAACGGAGAUACUACUGGAUCAUAUUUUGAACCGCAUGGUUCAAAAGUGAAUGACGGUUUUGCCGUCACUUAUAGCUGGAUCCGCGCUGCAUUAGCUAGUUGGUAAGGUAACGGCUUACCAAGGAAACGAAGCAUAGCCGACCUGAGAGGGUGAUCGGCCACACUGGAACUGAGACACGGUCCAGACUCCUACGGGAGGCAGCAGUAGGGAAUCUUCCGCAAUGGGCGAAAGCCUGACGGAGCAACGCCGCGUGAGUGAUGAAGGUCUUCGGAUCGUAAAACUCUGUUAUUGGGGAAGAACAUAUGUGUAAGUAACUGUGCACAUCUUGACGGUACCUAAUCAGAAAGCCACGGCUAACUACGUG
Molecule: ribosomal RNA, 497 nt
Filed under: uncultured bacterium
Lineage: Bacteria
Description: partial 16S ribosomal RNA
Rfam family: Bacterial small subunit ribosomal RNA
Source: RNAcentral